RNAcentral lists this ribosomal RNA (532 nucleotides) under Granulicatella sp. oral clone BP1-83. Its description in RNAcentral is "bacterial SSU rRNA". It matches the Rfam family "Bacterial small subunit ribosomal RNA", at positions 8 to 521 of the family's 1533-position model. The record is from RNAcentral. Lineage: Bacteria; Bacillati; Bacillota; Bacilli; Lactobacillales; Carnobacteriaceae.
AGAGUUUGAUCCUGGCUCAGGACGAACGCUGGCGGCGUGCCUAAUACAUGCAAGUCGAACGAGAGCGACCGGUGCUUGCGCUGGUCAAUCUAGUGGCGAACGGGUGAGUAACACGUGGGUAACCUGCCCAUCAGAGGGGGAUAACAUUCGGAAACGGAUGCUAAAACCGCAUAGGUCUUCGAACCGCAUGGUUUGAAGAGGAAAAGAGGCGCAAGCUUCUGCUGAUGGAUGGACCCGCGGUGCAUUAGCUAGUUGGUGAGGUAACGGCUCACCAAGGCCGUGAUGCAUAGCCGACCUGAGAGGGUGAUCGGCCACAUUGGGACUGAGACACGGCCCAAACUCCUACGGGAGGCAGCAGUAGGGAAUCUUCCGCAAUGGACGCAAGUCUGACGGAGCAACGCCGCGUGAGUGAAGAAGGUUUUCGGAUCGUAAAACUCUGUUGUUAGAGAAGAACAAGUGCUAGAGUAACUGUUAGCGCCUUGACGGUAUCUAACCAGAAAGCCACGGCUAACUACGUGCCAGCAGCCGCGGU